This 123-nucleotide ribosomal RNA is filed under the name Oryza sativa Indica Group (long-grained rice). The record is from RNAcentral. Lineage: Eukaryota; Viridiplantae; Streptophyta; Magnoliopsida; Poales; Poaceae.
GGAUGCGAUCGUACCAGCACUAAAGCACCGGAUCCCAUCAGAACUCCGAAGUUAAGCGUGCUUGGGCGAGAGUAGUACUAGGAUGGAUGAGUGACCUCCUGGGAAGUCCUCGUGUUGCAUCCC